UACGGAGGGGGCUAGCGUUGUUCGGAAUUACUGGGCGUAAAGCGCGCGUAGGCGGUUUCUUAAGUCAGGGGUGAAAUCCUGGAGCUCAACUCCAGAACUGCCUUUGAUACUGAGGAUCUUGAGUCCGGGAGAGGUGAGUGGAACUGCGAGUGUAGAGGUGAAAUUCGUAGAUAUUCGCAAGAACACCAGUGGCGAAGGCGGCUCACUGGCCCGGUACUGACGCUGAGGCACGAAAGCGUGGGGAGCAAACAGG
Molecule: ribosomal RNA, 253 nt
Filed under: uncultured bacterium
Lineage: Bacteria
Description: partial 16S ribosomal RNA
Rfam family: Bacterial small subunit ribosomal RNA
Source: RNAcentral